UACGUAGGGGGCCAGCGUUGCUCGGAGUUACUGGGCGUAAAGGGUCCGUAGGCGGUGUGGUAAGUCGGGAGUGAAAUCUCUGGGCUUAACUCAGAGGCUGCUUUCGAAACUGCCGUGCUAGAGUGUGAGAUAGGCGAGUGGAAUUGCGGGUGUAGCGGUGAAAUGCGUAGAUAUCCGCAGGAACAUCCGAGGCGAAAGCGGCUCGCUGGAUCACAACUGACGCUGAGGGACGAAAGCUAGGGGAGCAAACAGG
Molecule: ribosomal RNA, 253 nt
Filed under: uncultured prokaryote
Description: partial 16S ribosomal RNA
Rfam family: Bacterial small subunit ribosomal RNA
Source: RNAcentral